RNAcentral lists this ribosomal RNA (511 nucleotides) under uncultured Glomus. Its description in RNAcentral is "SSU rRNA". It matches the Rfam family "Eukaryotic small subunit ribosomal RNA", at positions 569 to 1086 of the family's 1831-position model. Lineage: Eukaryota; Fungi; Glomeromycota; Glomeromycetes; Glomerales; Glomeraceae. The record is from RNAcentral.
AGCAGCCGCGGUAAUUCCAGCUCCAAUAGCGUAUAUUAAAGUUGUUGCAGUUAAAAAGCUCGUAGUUGAAUUUCGGGAUCAGUAUGUUGGUCGUGCUUCGGUACGUACUGUCAUUACUGGUUUCUACCUUCUGAAGAACCUUGAUGUCAUUAAUUUGGUGUCUUGGGGAAUCAGGACUGUUACUUUGAAAAAAUUAGAGUGUUUAAAGCAAGCAUACGCUUGAAUACAUUAGCAUGGAAUAAUGAAAUAGGACGUUUGAUUCUAUUUUGUUGGUUUCUAGGAUCGACGUAAUGAUUAAUAGGGAUAGUUGGGGGCAUUAGUAUUCAAUUGUCAGAGGUGAAAUUCUUGGAUUUAUUGAAGACUAACUACUGCGAAAGCAUUUGCCAAGGAUGUUUUCAUUAAUCAAGAACGAAAGUUAGGGGAUCGAAGACGAUCAGAUACCGUCGUAGUCUUAACCAUAAACUAUGCCGACUAGGGAUCGGAUGAUGUAUUUUAAUGACUCAUUCGGCGC